RNAcentral lists this ribosomal RNA (774 nucleotides) under uncultured bacterium. RNAcentral's name for it is "bacterial SSU rRNA". It matches the Rfam family "Bacterial small subunit ribosomal RNA", at positions 96 to 873 of the family's 1533-position model. The record is from RNAcentral.
CGGCGCACGGGUGCGUAACGCGUAUGCAACCUACCUUUCACAGGGGGAUAGCCCGAAGAAAUUUGGAUUAAUACCCCAUAAUAUUAUUGGAUGGCAUCAUUUGAUAAUUAAAAUUACGAUGGUGAAAGAUGGGCAUGCGUCCUAUUAGCUAGUUGGAGUGGUAACGGCACCCCAAGGCUACGAUAGGUAGGGGUCCUGAGAGGGAGAUCCCCCACACUGGUACUGAGACAGGGACCAGACUCCUACGGGAGGCAGCAGUGAGGAAUAUUGGUCAAUGGUCGGAAGACUGAACCAGCCAUGCCGCGUGCAGGAAGAAUGUCUUAUGGGUUGUAAACUGCUUUUAUAUGGGAAGAAUAAGGAGUACGUGUACUUUGAUGACGGUACCAUAUGAAUAAGCAUCGGCUAACUCCGUGCCAGCAGCCGCGGUAAUACGGAGGAUGCGAGCGUUAUUCGGAAUCAUUGGGUUUAAAGGGUCUGUAGGCGGGCUAUUAAGUCAGGGGUGAAAGGUUUCAGCUUAACUGAGAAAUUGCCUUUGAUACUGGUAGUCUUGAAUAUCUGUGAAGUUCUUGGAAUGUGUAGUGUAGCGGUGAAAUGCUUAGAUAUUACACAGAACACCGAUUGCGGAGGCAGGGGACUAACAGACGAUUGACGCUGAGAGACGAAAGCGUGGGGAGCGAACAGGAUUAGAUACCCUGGUAGUCCACCCUGUAAACGAUGGAUACUAGCUGUUUGGAGUAAUUUGAGUGGCUAAGCGAAAGUGAUAAGUAUCCCACC